UACAGAGGAGCCAAGCGUUGUCCGGAUUGACUGGGCGUAAAGCGCACGCAGGCGGUGGUGCGCGUGGGGUGUGAAAUCUGGCCGCUUAACGGCCAGGCGCCAUCCCAUACGGCACGACUGGAGGGCUGCAGAGGUCGAUGGAAUUGCCGGUGUAGUGGUGAAAUGCGUAGAGAUCGGCAGGAACACCCAGGGGGAAACCAGUCGACUGGGCAGCACCUGACGCUGAGGUGCGAGAGCGUGGGGAGCGAACAGG
Molecule: ribosomal RNA, 253 nt
Filed under: uncultured bacterium
Lineage: Bacteria
Description: partial 16S ribosomal RNA
Rfam family: Bacterial small subunit ribosomal RNA
Source: RNAcentral